GUAGGCUCAAGGGAAAAGAACGCUCCACUUAAUUUGUCUGGCAGUUCUUCUACCGUACUAGCACAGCAUUUGCAUUGCAUGAACAAUUGCAUUUCAAAGGCAAAUUACAAUGUGUUCUCUUACAACAUAAUAUUGUGUAAAAUGUUGCCAAUCUUCAUUAAAAUCGGUCUCUUGGACUCUGGAAUGUCUUCUACUUUCUAAUUUAUCCACUUUUCAUUUAUUUGUUUUUGCAAAUAUUACUCAUCAAUGCUCAACAUUACUCCUUGCUCGAAGUGCAUCCGCAGUUUCUGGUAAAUUAAUGUGUCUAAUUU
This is a long non-coding RNA of Anguilla rostrata (American eel), 311 nucleotides long. RefSeq lists it as uncharacterized. The record is from RefSeq and is a predicted model, not a curated record. Lineage: Eukaryota; Metazoa; Chordata; Actinopteri; Anguilliformes; Anguillidae. The transcript is spliced from 2 exons.